RNAcentral lists this ribosomal RNA (490 nucleotides) under uncultured bacterium. RNAcentral's name for it is "partial 16S ribosomal RNA". It matches the Rfam family "Bacterial small subunit ribosomal RNA", at positions 30 to 507 of the family's 1533-position model. The record is from RNAcentral.
AUUGAACGCUGGCGGCAGGCCUAACACAUGCAAGUCGAACGGUAACAGGAAGAAGCUUGCUUCUUUGCUGACGAGUGGCGGACGGGUGAGUAAUGUCUGGGAAACUGCCUGAUGGAGGGGGAUAACUACUGGAAACGGUAGCUAAUACCGCAUAACGUCGCAAGACCAAAGAGGGGGACCUUCGGGCCUCUUGCCAUCGGAUGUGCCCAGAUGGGAUUAGCUAGUAGGUGGGGUAACGGCUCACCUAGGCGACGAUCCCUAGCUGGUCUGAGAGGAUGACCAGCCACACUGGAACUGAGACACGGUCCAGACUCCUACGGGAGGCAGCAGUGGGGAAUAUUGCACAAUGGGCGCAAGCCUGAUGCAGCCAUGCCGCGUGUAUGAAGAAGGCCUUCGGGUUGUAAAGUACUUUCAGCGGGGAGGGAGGGAGUAAAGUUAAUACCUUUGCUCAUUGACGUUACCCGCAGAAGAAGCACCGGCUAACUCCGUG